CACUGAACUCACAACCUGACCAACCGCACACUACGGCACCCGGCACCUCUAUUGCCGUUUCGCUGACCGCCACUUCAUCCGCUACGCCAUCGCCUACAUUAACGCCGACACCCGCCAGCACUGCUGAGUCCGUUCGGCAGGUUUUGUUGGGCAGGAUUAAUGCCGUGCGGGCCGCGCAGAAUAUGCCACCCUACAAACUAAAUCCAUAUCUGAUUGCUGCGGCACAAAAUCAGGCCGAGUGGCUGGUGAGCACUGGUGAAGUGGUCCACAUGCACGAGGACGGCAGCACACCCGCCAAACGUGCCGAGGCUG
RNAcentral lists this unclassified non-coding RNA (312 nucleotides) under uncultured bacterium. RNAcentral describes it as "contains 16S-23S intergenic spacer region". The record is from RNAcentral.